GGAGGCUGGGAACGCUGCAGUGAUUCACCCGAGGUCCUGGGGCUGCCAGGGCACCAGAGGCAGCACUCCCAGGCAGCUCUCCUCGGGGCAGGUGGACUGGGGGCACUCUGCCUGCCUCUUGGGGAGGCUGGAAUAAAUCUUCCUGCGAUGGGCAAACAGAAGCCCUGGAGCUGCGCUCGCCUGCCAGAUCCGCGCCGCUGCCUCUGUCUCUGUCUUUUGCGUUCUCUUCUCCCCGUCCCCCCCUCGGAACCGACGCUGGGAUUUGCAAGCGGCUCCAGCGCUCUCCACGAGGGUGUGGGGAGCUCAGCGCCGCGGUCGCUCCCUGCAUGCGAAGCAGCUGCAGCCUCCCUGCCGCACGGAGCCCUUCGGGCCGGGAGCAGGGCGCGGGAUGUGUGCUCG
Molecule: long non-coding RNA, 399 nt
Organism: Pogoniulus pusillus (Red-fronted tinkerbird)
Lineage: Eukaryota; Metazoa; Chordata; Aves; Piciformes; Lybiidae
Exons: 2
Source: RefSeq, a predicted model, not a curated record